This is a non-coding RNA of Schistosoma rodhaini, 45 nucleotides long. Lineage: Eukaryota; Metazoa; Platyhelminthes; Trematoda; Strigeidida; Schistosomatidae. The record is from Rfam.
GUUCAACUGAAGAGGCCCACAUAGGAUGAAAUGCGCAUCCUAGAC